GACGAACGCUGGCGGCGUGCUUAACACAUGCAAGUCGAACGGAAAGGCCCUGCUUUUGUGGGGGGCUCGAGUGGCGAACGGGUGAGUAACACGUGAGUAACCUGCCCUUGACUUUGGGAUAACUUCAGGAAACUGGGGCUAAUACCGGAUAGGAGCUCCUGCUGAAUGGUGGGGGUGGGAAAGUUUUGGCGGUUGGGGAUGGACUCGCGGCUUAUCAGCUUGUUGGUGGGGUAGUGGCUUACCAAGGCUUUGACGGGUAGCCGGCCUGAGAGGGUGACCGGCCACAUUGGGACUGAGAUACGGCCCAGACUCCUACGGGAGGCAGCAGUGGGGAAUAUUGCACAAUGGGCGGAAGCCUGAUGCAGCAACGCCGCGUGCGGGAUGACGGCCUUCGGGUUGUAAACCGCUUUCGCCUGUGACGAAGCGUGAGUGACGGUAAUGGGUAAAGAAGCACCGGCUAACUACGUG
RNAcentral lists this ribosomal RNA (468 nucleotides) under uncultured bacterium. Its description in RNAcentral is "partial 16S ribosomal RNA". It matches the Rfam family "Bacterial small subunit ribosomal RNA", at positions 28 to 507 of the family's 1533-position model. The record is from RNAcentral.